GAUCCUUGGCUAGCAAGGAUUAAUGUAGCCGUUCCUGGAUUUCUCUCUGGUUCCCCUUUAAAGGGGACUCAAGAUGUUGAACUAACCACUCAACAAGUCCCCGACCUUAUUCAGGCUAAGGAAGUGGUCAAACCUUCUAAUGAGGAACCAGAGGUACAAGUAGGAGUGACUACCUACCUUGACCUUAAGGAGGAUUUUGAUGUUUUUAACGACCUGACCUAGCCAAGCACUCUGAGGCCAACUCCCAACCUCAAGUUACAGCCCAAGUUAGUAUCAACUAGGAAGUCUCUGACAUACCCAAAGGAAUGGUAAUCCAAAAAAGUAUGCCUAACCUUCUGUCCUUGCAGGAGACCUAUGUUGAGGGAGCUUCGCCUGUUGUACCUGUGGACUUAAGGCCUCCCACCCCUUUUUGGCUUGGACCUCUCCUUCUAAGCCUAUAAAGAAGAAAUGAAAAAGGGAUAAGAGGGUUGGGAAGGAGAGCUCUGAGGAGGGCGAGGUUUAGCUAAUAAUGGAGCAAGAGCCUCCAAAAGGGCCUAAGGUUACUAGAGCCCAGUUGAAGAAAGGUUCCACUGAGGGAACUAGCUUCAAUGUUGCAACAGAUCAGCGCUCCAAGGUCUUUACUUGGAGCCUCUCUCCCUUCUAACUCUUCUAUCAGAGAAUUUCAGCAAGGGAGAGUUGGAUACAUGCCCAACUUUGUUGAGUAGGCUUUUCUCCUCCCUCGAGACAUAGAGGAGCUUCGGAAUUUGAUGAAGCAUAACGUGUUCCUCAUUUUGAAGAGAGAUUUGGCUAUGCGGUCUAGGCCUCCUAUGUUGCUGAAGAGUGGGUGGACUAUGCUCUCUCCAAAUCCAAGGAAGGGGAGUCACGCCGAAUAGCCGUCACUAAGGCUCAAGCUGAUGUGGAGAAAAAGUACAAGGACUCCCUCUUCAGGUUAGCUAAGGCCGAGAGGGGAAGAAAGAGCACUGAAGUUGCCAUGGGGGUUGUUGACAGAUAGGUUGAAGAGCAAUGUGGUCAGCUUUGGACCACUAAGGAAGAGUUGGCUCUUGCUAAAGAAAAAGUUGGACUCCAAUGAAAAGAACUAAAGGGGAAGGAUGCAGAGCUAUUCAAGGCAUAACAAGCUGCUUAUGAACAGGGGAAAAAAGAGACCUCGACCAGUCUUACCCUUUAAAUGAGAGACUUAAGUUAAGAGUUUUGCCCCCAAGUUUGGGCCAAAGCUCUGAAUGUUGUUGGGGUGGACUCGUCUUUGGAGCUUAAAGACCCAUCAAGGAUUGUCUAUCCUUCUACUCUUAGGGGUGAAGCCAGCUCAUCCACUUUGGCAUCGAGACCAGCCGAACCAACUUCUCAACCUCCUCCUGAGAAGGAGGGCAAUGACAAAGGGUCUUUGGAAAAAGAGGACAAGGCUGGAGAAUGAAAAAAGAAAGAUUCCACAGAAUAGGUCUUGUUAGAUCCUUUGUAGUAGGAGCUCCUAAUUUACAUUUUAGCUUAGGUUGCAGGCUUUUAUCCUUUCUUUUUCUUGUAUUGCUUAUUCUGAAAUCAAUGAUUGCUGAAAAUUCUGCUUUUAUCUGACUAGUACUUGCUUGUA
Long non-coding RNA from Quercus robur (English oak), 1579 nucleotides. RefSeq lists it as uncharacterized. The record is from RefSeq and is a predicted model, not a curated record. NCBI's taxonomy places the organism in Eukaryota, Viridiplantae, Streptophyta, Magnoliopsida, Fagales, Fagaceae. The transcript has 2 exons.